Molecule: transfer RNA, 81 nt
Filed under: Nocardia brasiliensis
Lineage: Bacteria; Bacillati; Actinomycetota; Actinomycetes; Mycobacteriales; Nocardiaceae
Also listed under: 1 other name
Description: tRNA-OTHER
Rfam family: tRNA
About the family: Transfer RNA (tRNA) molecules are approximately 80 nucleotides in length. Their secondary structure includes four short double-helical elements and three loops (D, anti-codon, and T loops).
Source: RNAcentral
GGAAGCGAGCCUGAACGGAAAAGGGGCCAUACCAAGACUGGCUGGGCAUUGCCCAUGCAGGUUCGAAUCCUGCCGCUUCCG